Loxodonta africana (African savanna elephant) is the source of this 16234-nucleotide long non-coding RNA. RefSeq lists it as uncharacterized. Lineage: Eukaryota; Metazoa; Chordata; Mammalia; Proboscidea; Elephantidae. The transcript is spliced from 3 exons. The record is from RefSeq and is a predicted model, not a curated record.
AGGGUUUUUUAUUGAUCAAUCAGUAGAUAAGAACUGCUUUGGGUGAGGGGAAAGACAACACUCAAUACAAGGAAGGUCAGCCCAGUUGGACUGGACUAAAAGCAAAGAGGUUUCUGGGAUAAAAUGAAUGCUUCAAAGGUCAGCGGACCAGGGGCUGGGGUCUGGGGAACUUGGUUUGAGGGGACUUCUAAGUCAAUUGGCAAAAUAAUUCUAUUAUGAAAACAUUCUGCAUCCCACUUUGAAAUGUGGCGUCUGGGGUCCUAAAUGCUAACAAGCGGCCAUCUAAGAUACAUCAAUUGGUCUCAACCCGCCUGGAGCAAAGGAAAAUGAAGAACACCAAGGUCACACAACAACUAAGAACCCAAGAGACAGAAAGGGCCACAUGAACCAGAGACCUACAUCAUCCUGAGACCAGAAGAACUAGUUGGUGCCUGGCCACAAUCGAUGACUGCCCUGUCAGGGAGUACAACAGAGAACUCCUGAGGGAGCAGGAGAUCAGUGGGAUACAGACCCCAUAUUCUCAUAAAAAGACCAUACCUAAUGGUCUGACUGCGACUAGAGGAAUCCCGGUGGCAAUGCUCCCCAGACCUUCUGUUGGCACAGGACAGGAACCAUCACCGAAGACAACUCAUCAGACAUGAAAGGGACUGGUGAGCGGGGGGGAGAGAGAUGCUGAUGAAGAGAGAGCUAAUUAAAUCAGGUGGACACUGGAGAGUGUUUUGGCAACUCUUGACUGGAGGGGGGAUGGGAAGAUAGAGAGAGAGGGAAGACGGCAAAAUUGGCACGAAACGAGAGACUGAAAGGGCUGACUGAAUAGGGGGAGAGCAAGUGGGAGAAGGGAGUAAGAUACAUGUAAACUUACAUGUGACAGACUGAUUGGAAUUAUAAAUGUUCACUUGAAGCUUAAUAAAAUUUAAUUAAAAAAAAAAAAAAAGAAGAUGGAAGGAAUACACAGUCACUAUACCAAAAAGAACUGGUCAAUGUUCAACUAUUUCAAAAGUUUGCAUAUGAUCAGGAGCCAAUGGUACUGAAGGAAGAAGCCCAAGCAAGGCUGAAGACAUUGGCAAAAAAUAAGACUCCGGGAAUUGACGAAAUACCGGUUGAGAUGUUUUAGCAAACGGAUACAGCACUGAAAGUGCUCACUUGUCUAUGCCAAGAAAUUUGGAAGACAACUACCUGGCCAAUCGACUGGAAGAGACCCAUAUUUAUGCCUAUUCACAGGAAAGGUGAUCCAACUGAGUGUUGACAUUUUCAAAAUAUAUGGUUAAUAUCACACACAAGUAGAAUUUUGCUAAAGAUCAUUCAAAAGCAGCUACAGCUGUAUAUUGAUAGGGAACUGCCAGAACCGCAUCUUAAUUUAUGUACAGGAUUCUCUUGAGCACAAUUAAGUGUUCUGAAAUUUCCAUUCUUCACAAUGUUAUCCAUAAUUUGUUAUGAUCCACACAAUUGAAUGCCUUUGUAUAGCCACUAAAACACAGGUAAACAUAUUUCUGGUAUUGUCUGCUUUCAGCCAGGAUUCAUCUGACAUCAGCAAUGAAAUCCAUGGUUCCACGUUCUCUUCUGAACCUGGUUUGAAUUUCUGGCAGUUCCCUGUCAAUGUACUGCUGCAACUGCUUUUGAAUGAUCUUUAGCAAAAUUUUACUUGUGUAUGAUAUUAAUGAUGUUGUUUGAUAAUUUCUGUAUUUGGUUGGAACACCUUUCUUUGGAAUAGGCAUAAACAUGGAUCUCUUCCAGUCAGUUGGACAGGUAAGUGUCUUCCAAAUUUCUUGGCAUAGACGAGUGAGUGCUUCCAGCCAUGCUUCCAUUUGUUGAAACAUGUCAGUUGGCAUUCCAUCAGUUCCCGGAGCCUUGUUUUUCGUCAAUGUUGUCAGUGCAGCUUGGACUUCUUGCUUCAGUGCGAUCGGUUCUUGAUCAUAUGCUACCUCCUGAAAUGAUCGAAUGUCAACUAAUUCUUUUUGGUACAGGGAUUUUGUGUAUUCCUUGCAUCCAGUUUUGAUGCUUCCUGUACCAUUCAGUAUUUUGCCCACAGACUCCUUCACUAUUGCAACUUGAAACUUGAAUUUUUUCUUCAGUUCUUUCAGCUUGAGGAAUGCUGAGUGUGUUCUCUUUUGGUGUUCUAACUCCAGGUCUUUGCACAUGUCUUUAUAAUACUUUACUUUGUCUUCUCAAACUGCCCUUUAAAAUCUUCUGUUCAGCUCUUUUACUUCAUCAUUUCUUUUGUUUGCUUUAGCUACUCAAUGUUCAAAAGCAAAUUUCAGAGUCUCUUUCGACGUCCAUUUUGGUCUUUUCUUUCUUUCCUGUCUUUUUAAUGACCUUUUAUUUUCUUCAGGUAAGAUGUCCUUGAUGUCAUUCUACAACUCUUCUGGUCUUCAGUCAUUAGUGUUUAAUGUGUCAAAUCUAUUCUUGAGAUGGUCUCUAAAUUCAGGUGGUAUAUAUUCAAGGUCAUAUUUUGGCUCUUGUGUACUUGUUCUGAUUUUUUUCAGUUUCAACUUGAGGUCGCAUAUGAGCAAUUGAUGGUCCAUUCCGCAGUUGGCCCUGGCCUUGUUCUAACUGAUGAUGCCAAGCUUUUCUAUCAUCUCUUUCCACAGAUAUAGCCAUUUUAUUCUUGUGUAUUCCAUCUGGUGAGGUCUACGUGUGUAGUCGCCAUCAAUGUUGGUGAAAAAAGGUAUUUGGAAUGAAGAAGUUAUUGGUCUUGCCAAAUUCUAUCAUGCGAUCUCUGGCAUCAUUUCUGUCACCGAGGCCAUAUUUCCAACUACUGAUCCUUCUUUGUUUCCAGCGUUCACAUUCCAAUCACCAGUAAUUAUCAAUGCAUCCUAAUUGCAUGUUUGAUCAAUUUCAGACUGCCAAAGUUGGUAAAAAUCUUCAAUUUCUUCAUCUUUGGCCUUAGUGGUUGGUGUGUAAAUUUGAAUAAUAGCCGUAUUAAAUGGUCUUUCUUGUGGGUGAAUGGAUAUUAUCCUAUCACUGAUAGCAUGGUACUUCAGGAUAGAUUUGAAAGGUUCUUUCUGAUGAGAAUGUAAUGCCAUUCCUCUUCAUUCCCAGCAUAGUAGACCAUAUGAUUGUCUGAUUCAAAAUGGCCAAUACCAGUCCAUUUUAGCUCACUAAUACCUAGGAUAUUGAUCUUCAUGCGUUCCAUUUCAUUUUUGGUGAUUUCCAGAUUUCUUAGAUUCAUACUUUGUACAUUCCAUGUUCUGAUUUUUAGUGGAUAUUUCAUUCUCAUUUUGAGUUGUGUCACAUCAGCAAAUCAAGGUCCGGAAAGCUUGACUCCAUCAUGUCAUUAAGAUUGACUCUGUUGGAGGAGGUAGCUCUUCCCCAGUCACCUUUUGAGUGCCUUCCAACCUGAGAGGCUCAUCUUUCAACACUGUAUCAGACAAUAUUCAGCUGCUAUUCAUAAAGUUUUCACUGGCUAAUUUUUUCAGAAUUAGACUGUCAGGUCCUUCUUCCUAGUCUGUCUUAGUCUGGAAACUCAGCUGAAACCUGUCCACCAUGGGUGAUCCUGCUGCUAUUUGAAUACGGGUGGCGUAUCUUCUAGCAUCACCGUAAGGUACAAACCCCCACAGUAUGGCAAACUAACAGACACAUGGGGGUAAAGGGCAUUAGAGUAAAAUAAUCUGAUACAGCCAUUUCAAGAUAGUGAUGAUCUUAUGAAGGGGACAAGAGUACUCAGAUUCAUUGGCUACAGAACUCCACAUUUAUCUCCACACUUGGAAAAGCUGUGCAAAUGGGUCUGCAAUGCCAAGUCUCAGUGCCACAAGCCCCUCUCCACUGUGGGUAUUUAAACAGGAACAGUAGAGAUUUAUGUUUGUUUUCUUCUUUUUCUCUGUUUCCUUGGCUAUUCAAUCUCUCUUCUGACUGAAACAUUCUUCCUUUGGCCAUAUUAAAACACAAAGAGGCCACCCCUUGAGUCUUAAUAACCAGGGAGCUAGUGACUUGGUAUACCUAUGCAGUGUUUAGUUAGGAGAUUAACUAUCAAAAGUACAUCUACAGCAAAACACGUAAGCACUGCUAACAGCUACCUUCCUGAUCUAACAUUCAAUGAUUCCAAAGCCAGAGGUUUCUCCAGGCAGUGUAGAGAAGGGCAUGAAUUUUCUGGUGCCCAAAGCAUUAAACUUCAAUGCAGAGAGAUCCAACUCUAUGGAUUCUUGCAUAAGUUCUAUGAACCAUUCACCCAAGGGUUCUACUGUAUAAACACAGACACGCACACACAAAGUUAUUUUAUUUUUUGAGGUGAGUGGAUGCAUCACAUUGUCUUUUCAUGGAGGCAGAUAUUGGGAAGUGAGGCAGUUUGCCUUGGGAGUCUCCACAAUCUGUUUAGAAACAGCAGCACAAAAAUCCUCUGAUCAUCUCCCCCCUGCCAGCCUGAAAUGUCAGCCCUGUGGGAAGCUGAUAGGUGUUCCUGCUAUCAACAGAAGCAGCACCUCUACAUUCGUAUCUUUGAGAGUACUUUAUUCACUAUAUAUUCUAUGUAAACUGUGGGAUUUGACAAGGAGGAGUUGUCGAAGGCAUACUACUGGAAAGGAGCUGUGUUGGGUUGAAUUUGGUACCAAUCUCUCAUACUUGACAGCUCAAGUACAAGAUUGUCGAUGAGCUAUAGGACCUGUGAGCCUCCUCAGUCAGCAAGCGCAGGCUCUAAGUCACAUUUAAUUCAGAAAGCCCUGACAGCUCUGCAUAAACUUUGAGCCGGAAAAUGGAGAGAUAGGGGCUGUGCGCAAGAGUAGGCCAUUUAAGUUAUUUCCUUUUACUGGAAUUUUGGAAAAUAUGAACCAGGACAAUAUAGGCUAUGAUACACCACGCAGAUACCUGCAUCAACAACUUAAAGAAAAUAAUCUACACUUUAGGCCAGGGUGACAUGACUUUUAAUAGUUUAAAAACUAAAAGAAAAAUCCAUGAAGAACUGGAAGCUGCCUAGAAUUUUUCAUUAUUCAGCCUAGAUUAUACAUAUCUAUUGCUAUAUGUCUGUAUAAAUAAGACCACCCAAAAAAUGGAAAAAAAAAAAAAAAACAGGCUUGAAGUAGUUUGAUAUAGUGACUAGAAUCCUGGAUUUGACCAAUAUCUGAGUCUUGACUGAGACUUUCCAGCUGCCUGACAUACUGACCAAUGUAUCUAACUUCUAUAAACCCUAUAUUUAAUUCUAAAUUCCCUGUAUGGUGCAAAUGCUUAACGUGUUUGGCUACAGACCCAAAGGUUGGUGGUUUGAGUUCACCCAGAGGCACCUUGGAAGAAUGACCCAGUGAUCUGCUUCUGAAAAAUCAACCAUUGAAAAUCCUAUGUUACAUAGUUCUGUUCUGACACACAUGGGAUCUCCAUGACUCAGAAUCAACUCUGUGGCACUGGUUUUGGUUGUUUAAAUUCUAAAAUGGGAAAAUUAUCACUUUAUCUAUGUAUUGAUAAUCUGUUGCCACAAUAAUUGUGUGUAGCAAACUACCCCACAGCUCAGGGGCUUAGGACGAUAAACAUUUAUUUAGCAAAUGAUUCUGCAGGGUUUAGUUGAUCUUGGCUGAGUUUGUUUAUGUGUCUGCUGUAAGCUACAGGUUGGCCAGGCAGUUCUGCUGUGUAUGUGUCUGGGCUGUCUCACAUAUCUGGGAAUUGACUGGAGCUGGGCUGAUUCAGAAUGACCUCAACUAGAAUUACUGGAGCAAUUCAACUCUACUCUAUCUGUCUCGUCUUCCAUUAUAACCAAACCAAACCCACUGUUGUUGAUUCCGACUCAUAGAGACCCUAUAGGACAGAGUAGAACUAUUCCCAUAGGAUUUCCAAGGCUGUAAAUCUUUACAGAAGCAGACUGCCAUGUCUUUCUCCCACAGAGUGGCUGGUGAGUUCGACUCACCUUUUGGUUAGCAGUCAAGCACUUUAACCACUGCACCACCAGGGCUCCAUCCUCUAGUAUAGGGGUCAGCAAACUUGGCUUGUGGACCAAAUGCAGCCCAUGGUCUGUUUUAUAAAUAACAUCUUGUUGGAACACAGAUGCACUCAUUUGUUUACAUAUUUUUAUAUAUAAGUUAUUGUUUGUUGAAAAUAUACACAGCAAAAUGUACACCAGUUCAACAAUUUCUACAUGUACAAUUCAAUGACAUCGAUUACAUUCUUCAAGUUGUGCAACCAUUCUCAUCCUCCUUUUCCUAAGUAUUCACCCACUGUUGACAUAAACUCACUGCCCCCAAGCUUCCUAUCCAAACUUUCAAGUUGCUGUUGUCAAUUAGAUUCCAUAUAGAUAGUUCUUUAAAAGAGCACAAUGGUCAAGGCAGAUGUUCUUUACUCAUUAAGCUAAACUUGUUUGGUUUCAAGAAGACUUUGCUUACUUAGGGAAACGCUGGUGGUGUAGUGGUUAAGAGCUAUGGUUGCUAACCAAAAGGUCAGCAGUUUGAAUCUACUAGGCGCUCCUUGGAAACCCUGUGGGGUAGUUCUACUCCAUUCUUUAGGGUUACUAUGAGUUGGAAUUGACUUGAAAACAAUGGGUUUGGUUUUUUCCUGGUUUUUGUUUACUUUUGUCCUGCGUCUGCUUUGGCGAUACAAUAACAGAGUUGAGUAGGUGCAAUAGAGACCGCAUGGCCCACAAAACCAAAAAUAUUUACUAUCUGGUCUUUUUUAAAGAAAAUGUUUGUUGACUCUUGCUCCAGUGGAGUAGCCUGCAAGUGUUAUCAUGGCCAUAACAAAGGAGGGAGAAAGGAAGUGAAAAUGUGCAAGAGCCCUUUUAAGACUGCAUAUAUCAUAUCCACCAACAUGCCAUUGGCCAAAGCGAGUCACAUGAUUGACUUCAGAAUUCAAGUGCUGGGAAAUAUAUUCAAACUCAUCAGUGAGAGGAACUGCAUAGUCACAUGACACAUGGGUAUAGAUGCACCAGAGGUGUUAUGGAUUGAAUUGUGUCCUCCAAAAAUGUGUGCUGUAAAUCCUAAUACCUACAUCUGUGGUUAUAAUCUCAUUUGGGAGUAGGGCUUUCUUUGUUAUGUUAAUGAGACAGUAUUGGCAUAACUCCUGUCUUAAAUAAAUCUCUUCUGAGAUUUAAAAGAGCAGAUUAAGCAAGCAGCAAGGAAGCAGAGAUGGGGGAAGACAGAUGCCUUACGACAUGAGAUCUCCAAGAAACCAGAAACAGAAGCUGACAAGAGACAAAGACUUUCUGCCAGAGCCAAUAGAGAUAGAAAGCCUUAGUCUACAGCCAGCACCCUGAAUGUGAACUUUGGACCUCCUAAACUGUGAGAAAAUAAAUUUCUGUUUGUUAAAGCCACUCACCUGUGGUAUUUCUAUUACAGCAGCGCUAGAUAACUAAGGCAAAGAGGAGUGAAGAAUUUAGGCAGUUUAUGCAAUCAGUCUACCACAUCUGCCCAUCUCACGAUGCUGUUAUGAGGCUUAGUUCAUACACAUGUAAAAACAUUUUAUAAACUCUAAAGCAUUAUGCAAUUAAAAUGGCUUUUUUUCCUAACAUCUCAUACUUUUAUUAGGCUAAUGGUAUCUACGAUAUACUCAAUAUAACAAAGAUAGUUAUAACUAACUAAAAAAUGCAAUAUUGAGUGUGUAAACUUGGCCUUCUUCCUCUCCUUUGCAAUGUGCUGCCUUAGGGAGACAGAUGGGACAAGGAACAAAUAUUUGGAUAGCCUUAUCGCCUCUGUAAUCAAGUUGGUUCCCAGACUGUGCCCAGUCUGUUAUCUUGAAAUCAUCAUUUGCGCCCUGCCCUCAACCAAGUGUUUCAUCAAAAUUCAUCAAUUUCUGACUAUUGGAGUAUUGAAUGUAGACCAGAGAAUAUUACUAACACAAACAUGAAAUUUUUGUAUUAUUAUUUGCUGAAAUAACUGUGUAUUAUCUUUCUAUGUGUUGUAUUCAUCAAGAAAAAAAGCUGUGCUUGAUCCUUAUCUGAGAUUCCAAAAUAUCAAUUUGAAAACUAAUGGAAUGUAAUUUAUUUUUUUGUUUAUAACUCAUCUUUCAUGACAGCAUAGUUAGAGGUGAGAUCCAAGAAUUGGUUUAAUCACACUUGUGCCACUAAGUUGUUUGUCACUAACAAGUCACCUACUCUUGCUCUCUCCAUUUCUUCACAUUUAAAAUGAGGAGACUGAACUAAAAAAAUGUUUGAAAUACCCCCUGACUCUUUGUUCUAGAAGUAGGUGUUUGUCUACUUUUUUUUUUAAAGGAUAAAAUAUGAAAAGUAAAUGUGGGAAUAAUUAUAAUAGAAAGCUUAUAGCCUCUAUUAAUGAGGUCGAUGCUGAAUUUGUGAGUUAACUAGCAUUUGGUGGGUUUAAUAUCUUGCAAUAAUAGUCUUUAGAUUAAUUCUCUCUGAAUCACCAAUGUGAUGUCACUGAUACCAAUUUAAAAAAUUAAAGAUAUUGAGUUACUCCCAUUUUAGGUUUUCCUUCCAUUAGUUUUUCUUCAGACACUUGAAUAUGCUAUCACUUGAGUUGACCAUUCACUAAUACUGAUGAUUGAGAGUGGGAUAAACAAGUCGUAUGCCCAGAAGAAAAUGAGAUAGUGUUCCUUGGCAUUAUCCACUGUGGGUUUCCAGAACCUUGAGUCUAAGAGGUAGGUUCUACCUAGCCCAAAUGUCUAUACAUAAAAUAGCAGGAAAUGUUUCAUUUAUUUUCUUAUGCAAAAAAUAUUUACUGAGGGCUUUGUAUGUGCCAGGCACUGUUCUGGGUGCUUGUAUACGUUGAUGAAUAGACAGACCAAGAUCCCUGCUUGGUACAAUUUGCAUUCCAGUGGGGGAUUCUUUAACUUAGGGCUUAUAAAGAAAACAAAAGGAUGUAUUGAAAUAUCUGAACCUAUACUAUAAUGAGAACUAUCUAUGCAAGGGAUCAGAUCUAGCCCAUGGACCAAAUUUGGCCCACUGCCUGUUUUUAUGUGGUCUUAUAUAUUUUUAUAAGCUAAAAGUGGUUUUUACUGAUGAAUAUUUGCAAUUAAUAUGAUGAUUAAGAACACUAACUUUGAACCCCAAUUAAGAAAAAUGUUAUUGCCCCCCAAAAGAAUUUCAUUCUUCUUACUCAUAGACUUGUACUACACAAAAAUUGUACUCAAUUAUUGUUAUACUUUGCAUAUCAUCAAUGAAAAGAUAUGGGAACUUGUUUUCUCUUGUUUUAUGAAUACUUACACGAUAUACUCGAUUUUGCCUCUUGGGUCACAAAGUCUAAAAUAUUUACUAUCUGGCCCUUUACAGAAAAAAAUUACAAACCCAUAAUCCACAUAAUUGAAUCAAAAGGAUUCUGAAAUUUCUCUAGUUCCUUUUCAUUAGCUAGUAAGUGCCAGACCUUUAAUCAAUAUGACAAAGAAAACCGCUUAGUUUCAAUAUUGAUCUUUGUACAUUUGAAGUUAUGUAACAAUUUGGAAUUUUCUACUUUUGUUCCAAAUUAUUAUGUCCUAUAUAGUACGAGAAAGAGCCCUGGUGGUACAGUGGUUAAGCGCUCUGCUGCUAACCAUAAACGUUUGGGGGUUCCAGUUCUCCAUGUGCUCCUCAGGAGAAGAUGUGAUGACCUGCUUCUAUAAAGAGUACAACCCUGGGAACUCAUUGGGGCAGUUUUACCCUGUCCUAUAGGGUUCUUAUGGAGCCCUGGUGGGACAAUGGUUAAGAGCUUCACUGCUAACCAAAAGGGUCACCAUGAGUUGGAACCUACUCAAUGGAAAUGGGUAUAUGGCAUGGUUUAUGCAGAAAUAUUUGGUGAUUUCCUGCUCAAGGUUUACAACAUUGCUGACCAACACUGCUCUGAGUACUACGCUUUGAGUGGCCCCGGUCUAAACGCUAUCAUAAAGCUUAGUCUUACAUCCUUGAAUUAAGACUAAUGGCCUGUGAGGAACAGGAGAGGCUCAAGGCAGCUUUAGAAGACUUGACUGGAGACUCAUGCAUUAUGGAGAGGGCCACACUCUCUGCCCUUCUGGGCUCCUGCUUUGGGCUGGGCCUACACCUUCCUUGAGAUACUGCACUGACUUUCAGACGCAGGCUACUUUGAGCAGAAAACAGUCGGCAAUCCCGGAAGCAAUAGCGCUGGAGAGAGAACUAGAGGCCUUACGCUUCUGAAACUUCUUGGAGAAAUUCAGUGUAUCUUGUGAAGUGCCACUCUGCAUGUUUGAAGAGAAAUGUCGGUGGCAUAGGGAUGGUAAAUACCAUGAAAUUGGAUUCAUUUUAAUAAUUAGCCAUAGUGACACCUAGGUGAUGGAUAUUGUGAUGGCUUCCCCAGCAACCACCUCCAAUUACAGAAAUAGUGGGAGAGAAUUUUAGCUUCACAAGGUGAAAAGAAAUUGUUUAUUCGAUGCACCAAGAGUUUGUGUCCCAACGAUCAUUUAAGUCAGUUGGUUGUAAUGUAAGAGCACAAUUUGUCCAACAAACAGUGUUAAGAAUGGUGGUUAAGUUUCCUGUUGCCUCACAGAAAACCAUUUGAACCUGAUGGUAACUGAAUUAAAAUAAUUAAAUUAUAUUUUUAUCCUUUCUAUUAUUCUAUGGGUCAGGUCAAGUCAAGACUACAGAAAACAGCUGAAAUCAAACCUGUUGCUGUCAAAUUCAUUCCGGCUCAUAGCCACCCUAUAGGACAGAGUAGAACUGCCCCAUAGGGUUUCCAAGCUGGUGGAUUCAAACCGUUGAUGUUUUGGUUAGCAGCCAAGCUCCUAACCACUACACCACCAGGGCUCCAAACAUAGCUUACUCUGCUCCAAACUCUUGAAAUUCCAGUUCCAAAUAUUGGUGGAAGGAGUUUCCCCUUUCUUUCCAAGGGUCUCCAAUAAAGAAAUGGGAUUUCUCUGAACUUCCUUGCUCUGUUAGCAGCAACAAUAUGACAUGAGUCCAUAACAGUGCCCACCAGAGAAGCAGGGAUUCCAGAGGAAGGGUAAUGUGGAAGAAGGGUUUCAAUAGCUCUUUCUUUGAGGUGUGACGUAUUUGAAGAAUAAUCAGUGUGAUGGUUAAAGUUGUGUGUCAUCUUGGCUGGGCCAUGAUUCUCAGUGGUUUGGCAGUUAUGUAAUGAUUUAGUUGUCCUCAAUGAUGUGAUCUGAUGUGAUCAGCUGAUCAGUUGUUCAGGGGAGUUUCCUUGGGGUUGUAGCCUGCAUCCAAUACAUACUGACAUUCUGGUAAAGCCCAUUUCCUUGUUCAGGACCCUGCAUUCAGCUUGUCACCAUCUGACCUCUGGUUCUUGGGAUUUAAGCCAGCUGCCUGCCGUAUUGCCUGCCGAUCUUGGGAUUCGUCAGCCCUCACAUUCUGUGAGCCAGCAGCCUGCCAGCCUUGUAUUCAUCAGCCUCUACAGCCUGUGAGCCAGGGGGCUUCUGUCUGACUUUCAGAUCUUGGUUUGUCAGCCCCUGCAGCUACAUGAUGUCAGGAGAAGCCUCCAGCCUGAUGUCUGACACACGCACUUAGGACUUGCCAGCCUCUACAACCACAUGAGCCAUUUCCCUUUCUCUCUGUAUGUGUGUAUAUAUAUAUAACCCAUUGCCAUUGAUUCUGACUCAUAGUGAACCUAUAGGACAGAGUAGAAUUGCCCCUGAUAGAUUCAAACUGCUGAACUUACUGUAGCUCUUAACCACAAUACCACCAGGGUAUGUGUGUGUAUAUAUAUAUAGUUAGGUGCCGUGGAGUUGGUUCCGACUCAUAGCGACCCUAUGCACAACAGAACGAAACACUGCCCAGUCCUGAGGCAUCUUUACAAUCGUUGUUAUGCUUGAGCUCAUUGUUGCAGCCACCGUGUCAAUCCACCUCGUUGAGGGUCUUCCUCUUUUCCGCUGACCCUGUUCUCUGCCAAGCAUGAUUUUCUUCUCUAGGGACUCAUCCCUCCUGACAACAUGUCCAAAGUAUGUAAGACGCAGUCUCGCCAUUCUUGCUUCUAAGGAGCAUUCUGGCUGUGCUUCCUCCAAGACAGAUUUGUUCGUUCUUUUGGCAGUCCAUGGGAUAUUCAAUAUUCUUCGCCAACACCACAAUUCAAAGGUGUCAAUUCUUCUUUGGUCUUCCUUAUUCAUUGUCCAGCUUUCACAUGCAUAUGAUGUGAUUGAAAAUACCAUGGCUUGGGUCAGACGCACCUUAGUCCUCAGGGUGACAUCUGUGCUCUUCAACACUUUGAAGAGGUCCUUUGCAGCAGAUUUGCCCAAUGCAAUGUGUCUUUUGAUUUCUUGACUGCUGCUUCCAUGGCUGUUGACUGUGGAUCUGAGUAAAAUGAAAUCCUUGACACCUUCAAUCUAUUCUCCGUUUAUCAUGAUGUUGCUCAUUGGUCCAGUUGUGAGGAUCUUUGUUUUCUUUCUGUUGAGGUGUAAUCCAUACUGAAGGCUGUGGUCUUUGAUCUUCAUUAGUAAGUGCUUCAAGUCCUCUUCACUUACAGCAAGCAAGGUUGUGUCAUCUGCAUAACGCAGGUUGUUAAUGAGUCUUCCUCCAGUCCUGAUGCCCUGUUCUUCUUCAUAUAGUCCAGCUUCUCAUAUUAUUUGCUCAGCAUACAGAUGGAAUAGGUAUGGUGAAAGAAUACAACCCUGAUGCACACCUUUCCUGACUUUAAACCGAUCAGUAUCCCCUUGUUCUGUCCGAACAACUGCCUCUUGAUCUAUGUAAAGGUUCCUCAUGAGCACAAUUAAGUGUUCUGGAAUUCCCAUUCAAGCUUCACUGGUUUUGCUUCUCUGGAGAACCCAGCCUAAGACAGUCAGUGCUGGGGCUUUUGUGGUGAAAUCUUCCAGGAAGUGAGGUGUGAGAUCUCUCAGAAAGGGAGAAGUCUAAUGGUCAGUACCAGAAGCACUGGAUCAGGUGUUAUUAAGUGGAAGGGAUUAUCAAGAGUGGGGCAGGGCUGUACAAGUUAUAAAGGAAGAAGAGAAACAACUUCAUGUGAGAAGAGAAUUGAAGGACAAUGUAUACAGCUCCUCAGUCAAAUGAUUGAAAUUCCACAAGCCAGGACUCAUUUUUAUGUGUUCUAGACUUAGUGCCAGGUCCCUUUCUCAUCUAUACUCUCUGUUUAGAUGAUCUCAUAUGUGGCAAUGGAUUUGAUGACCACUUUUAUGAAGAUAACUUUUUCAGCCUAGAAAUCCUCUUUGAACUCCGUCCAUAUAAUGUAUAUAUUCAGUUUUGUACCUGACAUCUCUACUUGGAUGUCCCCAAAGAACUUCAAACCACUAGAAAGGAGAGGCAUGGAACAGUCCGUCUCUCAAAACUCUAAGAAGGAAUCAGCAUGGUCAAUACCCUGAUUUGAACUUCUAGCCUCCAGAAAUGUGAAACAAUAAAUUUCCGUUCUUCAAAGACACUCACUUUGUAGUAUUUUGAUACGGCAACCCUAGGAAACUAAGCCACCAGAGAUUUGUAAAUUUUUCUUUUUCAGUCUCUUGAGGAACCAACUUAUAUCUUUGUUGAUUCUCUUCAUUGCAUGUGUGUUUUCUAUCUUAAUAAUUUCUGUUGUGUGCGUCACUAUUUUCUUCCUUCUACUUCCUGUGGAUUUAUUUUGGAUUUUAUUUUCUGUAUAUAGUUUUUGGUUUAUUAUAAAUUAUUCUAAAAUUUUAGAUGAUGCUUGACUCAAUUUUUAUUGUUUUAAUUCUUUAAUAUAGAUAUAUAAGGCUAUAAUUUUUCCUAAGCAUAAAGCUUUAGCUAUGCUCUGUAAGUUUUGAUAUAGGAUUUUUGUUAUCAUUCAGUUAAAAUGUUCUAAGUUUUCAUUCUAAUGUCUUUCUUAGCUCAUAAAUUAUAUAAAAGUGUGCUUAUUAAAUACUAAAUGCAUGAGGUUAUCCUCUACCCUUUUCAUUCUUGUUGUUGUUAUUAUUAUUAUUUUAGUUUCUGGCUUAAGCGCAUUGAAUUCAGAGGCUAUGCCAUGCAUGAUUUUAAUGCUUCAGGAUUUGUUUAAACUUUUUUUUUAUGGCCUAUCAUAAACUUUUCAAAAUUUCCAUAUGUGUUUGAAAAGAAUGUGUAUUCUGCAAUUGUUGGGUAUGUUGUUCUAUGUAUGUCAAAAUUUGUUUUAAUUUUUCUGUAAAAUUUUUUUGUCUGCUUUUUAGAUAUCAAUUAUGAGAAAAUUGUAUUGAAAUUUCCCACUAGGAUUUUAGAGUUGUCCAUUUCUCUUUUUGGUUCUCUCAAUUUUGUGUCAUGUAUUUUGAGGCCAUGAUUUUAGGUGGAUGUAAAAUUAUAUGUACAAAUAUAUAUAUUUGGAUUGUAUCUUUUGUCCUUAUAACAUGACUUUAUUUCUCUCAAGCAAUUCUUUUGGGCUUCAAGUUGAUUUUGUGUGAUAUUAAUAUAGUUAGAUUUGUUUCCUUUUAGUUAAUGUUUGCAUGAUACAUUUUUUCCAAACUUUUCCUUUCAACUUGUCUGAGUCCUUAUGUGUUAGAGAUGUUUCUCAUAAAAAACAUUUAAUUAGAUUGUCUUUUAAAUUUCAAUAUGAUAGUCUUUGUCUCUUCACAGGAGCAUUUAGCUCAUUUCUAUUUAAUGUAACUGUUGAUAUACUUAUAUUUAUAAAUACCUUAUAUUUUUCAUCUUGUGUUAUUGAUCAUUUGUUUUUCUCUCUACCAGUUUGGAAGCUAUGCAUUCUGUUUAUAUAUAUAUUUUAUAUAUAUUUAUUCUGUAAAUUAUUACUGGCAUCCUUAACUGAUCAAAGGCAAAAUUUAGUGCCUACUUCUAACCUUUUCUGGAACAUUUUGAGGGCCAUAAAAAGUUUAACUCUAUUUCUCUACCUACUGUUAUGCUAUUGUCCUUGUUUAUUUUAAUUAUUAAAAAAAAAACAAAACUCCAGAGAUACCAUUAUUCUUUAUGCAGUUGUGGUGCCCUGAAUUACUUAAUAUAGUUCUUCUAGCCGUUGUCUUUGUGGCUCAUACACAAUGACUGAGGGAGACUAUGCAAAUAAGGUACAUGGAACCUGUGAUGAUUGGCUAAGCCAUGAUUCCCAAUAGUGUAUUGUUGUCCUCCAUUUUGUGUUUUGAUGUAGUUAUCCUCCAUUUUAUGUGUGGUAAAUUCUAACCUCUUUAUGUUAAUGAAGCAAGAUUAGUGUGGGGUGUAUCUUGAAUCACAACCUAGCAAGAGGGCAUGACUCAAAUCCCACCCUUACUCAAGUUAUACCCUGCCCUGGGGUGUGCCUGCAUACAAGGCAUAUAUGUGGGUGCUCUGGUGGGGCUCUCUCUCUCUGUACCUGGAUCCUGCGUCACUGUCUGAUCUCCAGUUCUUGGGACCUGAGCCAGCAGCCUGCCAUCUAACUUGCUGACUCUGGGAUUCACCAGCAUUUGCAGCGCUGUGGGCCAACAGCCUGUUGUCUGACCUGAUUCACCAUCUUCCACAGCCUGUGAGCCUGCAGUCUGUUGCCUGGCCUGCUGAUCUGGGUUCGCUGGCCCUGGUGGCCACAUGAACGAAGAGAAGCCUAUGUCUGACCCACAGAUUUGGGACUUGCCAGCCUCCACAACUGCAGGAGCCAUUUCCUUGACACAGUUUGUGAGUUCUGUGAGACAUUGUGGCAAAUAAAGGAACCCAAAGACAGAAGGGAGAGUGCUGAGGGGAGGAGGGGUAGUCAAGGUUAGAGAUGAUGGAACGGUACAGCAGUUUGGAAAAGCUGGGCAGGUGGGACAUCUUUAACCUCCGCCUCUUAGAAACCACAUUUGUGCUAAUCCUUAUAAAAGAAAUGAUUCAUUUAGCAGUCAAUUGUCUUCUUUUUUUUUUUUUGUCUUCUAGCUUUGCAUCCUUACAUACCACUUUAUUUUUCUUUAUUUAUUUGAGUAUCUCAGACUUUUCCAACUAGAAUUGCUUUCCUCUGGUUGGAGGUACAUACAACAGAAUUGCCUGUACUGGGGUAUGCUGGUGACAAACUCAGUUUUUUGUUUUUUUCAAAAGUGUCUUUAUUAUGUUCUCAUUCUUGAAAGGUCUUUUGAUAAAUAUAAAAUUAUUUCUUGGUAAUAUUUUUCUCUCAGCACAUUUCAACUAUCAUUCUACUGCCUUCUCUCUUCCAUUAAUGCUAUUGGGUUAAAGGCUAUCAGUCUGAAUAUUUCUCCUUUAAAGUUAAUCUUUGCCUCUGAUGGCUUUUACAAUCUUUUUUUAUUUUGCUGUUCUGCAGUUAUACUAUGAAUUUUUUGUCCAGCUUAGGAUUUAUUGAGAUUCUCAUAUUUGUGAUUUGGUUUAUCUUACAUUAGUUCUGGAAAUUUCUUAGGCAUUAUGUCAUCAAAUAUUGUUUUUGUUGCAUUCUGUCUUUUCACUACCCUGGACCUCUGAUUUAAUAUGUUUUAGAUCUUGUCAAUCUUUUUUCCGUAUGUCUUCACCUCUUUUUUAUAUUUUUUAACUCUUUGUAAAUCUGUGCAGCAUUCCAGAUAAUUUCUUUUGACCUAUCUCCAAAUCACAAAUUGUGUCUAAUCAAUU